Molecule: small RNA, 33 nt
Filed under: Bombyx mori (domestic silkworm)
Lineage: Eukaryota; Metazoa; Arthropoda; Insecta; Lepidoptera; Bombycidae
Description: ovarian small RNA-26478
Source: RNAcentral
UCCAACAGAGCUCGAGCAACCACAGUGUUGCCA